CUACUAUUGAUAACUAAUAAUAUUGUAUUACUAACUAAAAUAUUAUUGUAUGUAUAACAAUAUGAUAUCUGUACUGAGAUUUAUUUUUUUGUUUCUAUCAAUUAUUUUACUAACAAGCUAUUUUGUGACACCAACGAUGUCUGCUCUGUGUAAAUGUUACAGGAAAAUAAUACCUCAUAUGUGUUGGAAAACAUGUGGGAAGAAAGGAUAAACUUUUUACACUUCCAUCUCCAUCGGGCGAUAUAAAUUAAUAUUAUUUAAUCAUAUGAAUAUAAUCAAUUUCGUUUUAUUAUUUUGAUCUGCUUUAUUUUUAUUUAUUUCAAUCUUUUAUUGUAUUAUUGGAAUAAGAAGUUUGCAUCAAAUUUAUAAUCUCAGUUUAUAAUUGUAACAGUGGAUUAUUAUAAGUUACAAUAUGACUUAAUAAAUUUCUGCAUUGUAAA
Molecule: long non-coding RNA, 440 nt
Organism: Apis laboriosa (Himalayan honeybee)
Lineage: Eukaryota; Metazoa; Arthropoda; Insecta; Hymenoptera; Apidae
Exons: 3
Source: RefSeq, a predicted model, not a curated record